This 492-nucleotide ribosomal RNA is filed under the name uncultured bacterium. RNAcentral's name for it is "partial 16S ribosomal RNA". It matches the Rfam family "Bacterial small subunit ribosomal RNA", at positions 28 to 507 of the family's 1533-position model. The record is from RNAcentral.
GAUGAACGCUAGCUACAGGCUUAACACAUGCAAGUCGAGGGGAAACGGCAUCGAAAGCUUGCUUUUGAUGGGCGUCGACCGGCGCACGGGUGAGUAACGCGUAUCCAACCUGCCCAUCACUUGGGAAUAACCUUGCGAAAGUAAGACUAAUGCCCAAUGACAUCCCACGAAGGCAUCCGAAUGGGAUUAAAGAUUUUUCGGUGAUGGAUGGGGAUGCGUCUGAUUAGCUUGUUGGCGGGGUGACGGCCCACCAAGGCAACGAUCAGUAGGGGUUCUGAGAGGAAGGUCCCCCACAUUGGAACUGAGACACGGUCCAAACUCCUACGGGAGGCAGCAGUGAGGAAUAGUGGUCAAUGGGCGAGAGCCUGAACCAGCCAAGUAGCGUGCAGGAUGACGGCCCUAUGGGUUGUAAACUGCUUUUAUAAGGGAAUAAAGUGGGUCACGUGUGACUUUUUGCAUGUACCUGAUGAAUAAGGACCGGCUAAUUCCGUG